Non-coding RNA from Vicia faba (fava bean), 413 nucleotides. Lineage: Eukaryota; Viridiplantae; Streptophyta; Magnoliopsida; Fabales; Fabaceae. The record is from the annotation of a GenBank genome assembly.
CUAACCACCUUCUUUUUCUUGUUUCACGAGACGACGAUAGCGAUGAAUAUGGAGAAUGAAGAGAGGCCUGGAGAAUGACGAGAAUUUGUUAUGGAUGAAGAGAUUCAAGUUGUUGGACAUUUGUGAAGCUGAAUAUAAGAUGGAGAGUGAGGAUACUGCAGCUUUGGAGAGCUUGAAAUUUGUCGAGAAAGAUAGGGCCUUCUCAUCAUAGCAGGUUGGAUCACGCAAGAAGGAUGAGAAAGGUUUCAUAGGUAUGGAACAAGCUUGAAUGGGAUUUGGCAGCCAGUCUUUUGAUAAGCUAUAACAUCUUAAGGAACACUUAGGCUUACGAUGGAUAUAUAACCCUUUCUUUGUAAUUUCUCAAAAAUGUAAUGGCAAUACGACUUGCAAUUUGUAAUUCUAAAGAGAAACAU